Long non-coding RNA from Portunus trituberculatus (swimming crab), 2073 nucleotides. RefSeq lists it as uncharacterized. Lineage: Eukaryota; Metazoa; Arthropoda; Malacostraca; Decapoda; Portunidae. The transcript has 3 exons. The record is from RefSeq and is a predicted model, not a curated record.
UGUGUGGAACUCUUACCUGACAGUUGUUCCUUUGAAGACUGGAUGUCUGAACUGGCGUGUCUGCAGAGUUUGGCUGCCCCCACAUUGCAUGUCCAUUCUCCCGGCUGGUGCACUGUAUCUCACAGCCAGGGGAUGGCCUACCAGGAAUAACAAGGUGGCGAAAGUGGGGAGAAUCGGAAGACAUGGUCAGUGGCCCAAGAAGAGGUGGGUGGCAGUAACAGCAGACUGAGGAGAUGUAGAAAAGAGGAGGAUCUGUCCGAGGCAUAGAUGGCAAAGUCAUCCACAUAGAGGGAGGACCUGACACUAGGAGGGAUGGCAGAAAUGAUGUCAUCAAUGGCAAGGAGUAAGAGGGUUGUACUAAAGACCAAACCCUGCAGCACACCUUUAGAUUGACAGAAGGAAGGGGAACAAGAAGAAGCGACUGUGAUGCAAAAGAAGCAAUACUGGAGGAAGUUAUGGAGGAAAACCCCCAUGUUGCUAGAGACACCAACACUGGACAAGUGGUGAAGAAUGAUGUAAUGCCAAGUGAUAUCAUAAGCUUUAUCGAGGUGGAAGAUUUUUGUUGAGCAAAAGCGGAAAUAAUACAUGUGUGUAAGCAGGUGAGAGGCUCCACUAUACCAUGCUGAAAGCCAAACUGAAAGGAAGAGAGAAGGCUCUUAGAUUCAAUAUAUCACAUCAAAUGGAGGUUCAUCAUGCAGUCAAGGAGCUUGCAGACACAGCUAGUCAACACAAUGGGCAGAUAAUCCUGGAGGAGAGCAUCAGAUUUGUUAGGCUUGAGAAAAGGAAGGAUAAGUGCCUUGCACUAAUGGGAGGGAGGGGGAAUCCUCAGUUAACCAAACAUGGUUAAAAAGACUAAGCAAGAAGAUUAAAGAGACGGCAGGAAGGUGGAGGAGCAUCUAAUAGUGAACAUCAUCAAGGCCUACAGCAGUACUUCAAGGGGGAGAAGGGGGGCAUUGUAAUAUGAAGUAAAAGAAAGUGUUAAUGUAACAGGGGUGCAUUCACAGACUGCUUUAAGGGUAGUAAACCCUAGGGAAAAAUGAGAGCCACUGCUGACAUUACUGAAAUAUAAGCCCAAUUCAGUGGCCACCUGGAGUGGCUCAGCAAUAUCAGCCUGGGGAAGGUAAAGAAUAGGAGCACAGGAGGGUAGAUGUUUACCAGAUAGUUUAUGAAUACAGCGUGAGACUGAGACAUUGGGGGUAGGGGAAGUCAAGAUAGAGACAAGCACACCAGCCGCUGGACAGGGCCAAUUUACCAGUCUGGCAGAACCUAACCAAAGCAUGUUUAAGAUAAACAAGGGCUGGGAAUUAGCUGGAAGUGUCCCAUUUACAGCGGUAAUUACUCCAGACCACCUGUUUCAAGCAGGAAGCUGUAGUGCAAGUACAGUUCCACCAGGGAACACACUUGGAGGCCAAGGAACAGGAAAUCUGAGGAAUGGAAACAAAAGCAGCAGCGAGAACAGAUACACUAAAGUAAACCAGCAUGUCAGAGAAGUAAAAUCAGAAGAGGAGGUGCAGACCUCAGAGCUCUUAUAGGAGAUGAGUAAUAAUUUUCAUAAUCAGUCAUGGUAAGCCAGGUUGAGGAGGAAAAUGAGGUGGCCCAUCCCUUAGAGCCCUCAUGAGGGGUAAGGUCCACUGAGGCAGUUAAUACUGGGACAAACCUAGCCUCACAUCCCAUCCAUACAGUUCUCAUGCCUUGGGAAAAAGGGAGGGGAAGAAAGGAAGAGGAGAGGAGGAAAAGAUCCAGGCAAAUUUCAUAGGUCUAGGGGCUGUGGCCCAAGGCCCCUGGGUGCACUAAGGUGGUCUUAAGUCAUCAGGCCACAGCCUCUGUACCCAAAGCCCUACCCCAUCGGCAACGGAACCUGGUAUGGGAAGGACUCACAUCAUGAAGUUAAAGUGCUUCCACUUCAUCUUUAUCUAUGACUUCAAAGUAUUGGGACAGCUUAGGAAAACAAUUAAGAUGGCUUCAUGUAAUCUGUACAGAUAUGAGACACUUAUAAUCCAAGUGUACAGGGCUUUACCACAAAUGUAUUGGACACUUGAAUAUAAGAAAUGAUCAAUAAAAUGCAACACUCAA